CGGCGUGCCUAACACAUGCAAGUCGAGCGGGGUUGAAGCGAGAGGUAACUCGAGCUUCUACCUAGCGGCGGACGGGUGAGUAAUGCGUGGAUAAUCUGCCCUUUAGUUGGGAAUAACGUACCGAAAGGUGCGCUAAUACCUGAUAAUACUGCAUAACUACUGUUGUGUAGUCAAAGAAGGCCUCUGUUUACAAGCUUUUGCUGAAGGAUGAGUCCGCGUACCAUUAGCUGGUUGGUGGGGUAAUGGCCUACCAAGGCUACGAUGGUUAGCUGGUCUGAGAGGAUGAUCAGCCACACUGGAACUGAGACACGGUCCAGACUCCUACGGGAGGCAGCAGUGAGGAAUAUUGCGCAAUGGGGGCAACCCUGACGCAGCAACGCCGCGUGAGUGAGGAAGGUUUUCGGACCGUAAAGCUCUGUCGAGCGGGAAGAAAUGUAUCAUGGCUAAUAUCCAUGAUACUUGACGGUACCGCUAAAGGAAGCACCGGCUAACUCCGUG
RNAcentral lists this ribosomal RNA (498 nucleotides) under uncultured bacterium. Its description in RNAcentral is "bacterial SSU rRNA". It matches the Rfam family "Bacterial small subunit ribosomal RNA", at positions 40 to 507 of the family's 1533-position model. The record is from RNAcentral.